UACAGGGGAGGGGCAGGGGGCAGGUGUGAUGGGUACAGGGGAGGGGACAGGUGUGAUGGGUACAGGGGAGGGGCAGGUUUGAUAGGCACAGUGGAGGGGGCAAGUGUGAUGGGCACAGGGGAGGGGGCAGGUGUGAUGGGCACAGGGGAGGGGCUGAUGUGAUAGGCACAGUGGAGAAGCUGGUGUGAUGGGCACGGGAGGGGCUGGUGUGAUGGGCACAGGGGAGUGGGCAAGUGUGAUGGGCACAGGGGAGGGGCUGGUGUGAGGAGCAUAAAGGAGGGGCAGGUGUGAUAGGCAUAGGGGAGGGGCUGGUGUAAUGGGCACAGGGGAGGAACUGCUGUGAUAGGCACAGGGGAAUGGGCAGGUGAGAUAGGUAGAGGGGAGGGGCAGGUGUGAUGCCUACAGCAGAGGGGACAGGUGUGAUGGGCACUGAGGAGGGGCUGGUGUAAUGGGCACAGGGAAGGGACUGCUAUGAUGGGCACAGGAGAGGGGCAGGUGUGAUAGGCACGGGGAGGAGCCGGUGUGAUGGGCACAGGGGAGGGAAGGGGCUGGUGUGAUAGGCACAGGGGAGAAGCUGGUGUGAUGGGCACAGGGGAGGGGCUGGUGUGAUGAGCACAGAGGAGAAGUGGUGUGAUGGGCACAAGGGAGGGGCUGGUGUGAUGGGCACAGGGGAGGUGCUGGUGUGAUGGACACAGAGAGGGGCUGGUGUGAUGGGUACAGGGGAGGGGGCAGGUGUAAUGGCUACAGGGGAAGGGCAGGUGUAAUCGGCACAGAAGAGAAGCUGGUGUGAUGGGCACAGAGGAGGGGCUGGUGUGAUGGGCACAGGGGAGGGACUGCUGUGAUGGGCACAGGGGAGGGUCAGGUGUGAUGGGCAUAGGGGAGGGGCUGGUGUGACAGGCACAGGGAAGGGGGUCAUGUGUGAUGGCAUGGGGAAGGGGACAGGUGUGAUAGGUACAGGGGAGGGGCUGGUGUAAUGGGCACAGGGGAGGAACUGCUGUGAUAGGCACAGGGGAGUGGGCAGGUGAGAUGGGUACAGGGGAGGGGCAGGUGUGAUGGCUACAGUGGAGGGGACAGGUGUGAUGGGCACAGGGGAGGGGCUGGUGUGAUGGACACAGGGUAGGGGCUGGUGUGAUGGGUACAGGGGAGGGGGCAGGUGUAAUGGCUACAGGGGAGGGGCAGGUGUAAUGGGCACAGAGGAGAAGCUGGUGUGAUGGGCACAGGGGAGGUGCUGGUGUGAUGGGCACAGGGGAGGGGCAGAUGUGAUGGGCACAGGAGAGGGGCAGGUGUGAUGGGCAUAGGGGAAGGGCUGGUGUGAUGGGCACAGGGGAGGGACUUCUGUGAUAGGCACAGGGGAGAAGCUGGUGUGAUGGGCACAGGGGAGGGGCUGGUGUGAUGGGCACAGGGGAGGGGCUGAUGUCAUGGUCACAGAGGAAGGAGCAGUUGUGAUGGGCACAGGGGCGUGGCCUUGUGUGAUGGGCACAGGGGAGGGGCUGGUGUGAUGGGCCCUGGUGAGAGGAACAGGUGUGCUUUGGAGAAACCAGCUUUUUCUGCACAAAGAGGAUUCCCCUCAAACACAGAAAAUUAUUCCUAAUAUCUGCCUCCUGGGGACAGAGAACUUCCAGGUGGGAAGCCGAGCAUGAGGCUAAGCAUGUUCCCUGAAGGGGAGGCUGAACCCGGCCUCCAGCAGAAGUUAAUGGAACUGAGACUGGGGCUGUCGUGGGGCUGGAAGCCAAGGCAAAUCUCUGGACCCAGGCUUCCAUGGAGUGGCUACCAGCAUUCCCACUGGUCCA
RNAcentral lists this long non-coding RNA (1790 nucleotides) under Homo sapiens (human). RNAcentral's name for it is "HSALNT0258107". The record is from RNAcentral. Lineage: Eukaryota; Metazoa; Chordata; Mammalia; Primates; Hominidae.